GAUUGGCGGCGUGUAUAGGCUGCAGUCGUGCGAGAAUCCCCCUUCGGGGGGAGGAAAGCGGCGAAAGGGAGAGUAACGCGUGGAUACCUACCUUCAGGAUCGGGAUAGCUGCGGGAAACUGCAGGUAAUACCGAAUAACAUCUCCGGAUCAAAGGUGUGAUUCCGCCUGAAGACGGGUCCGCGUCCUAUUAGCUAGUUGGUGGGGUAACGGCCUACCAAGGCGACGAUGGGUACGGGGCGUGAGAGCGCAACCCCGCUCACUGGGACUGAGACACUGCCCAGACACCUACGGGUGGCUGCAGUCGAGGAUCUUCGGCAAUGGACGCAAGUCUGACCGAGCGACGCCGCGUGCGGGAUGAAGGCCUUCGGGUUGUAAACCGCUGUCAGUUGGGAGGAAAUCACAUGGGGUUCUCUCCAUGUGUUGACCUAUCUUCAGAGGAAGGACGGGCUAAGUUCGUGCCAGCAGCCGCGGUAAGACGAACCGUCCUAACGUUAUUCGGAAUUACUGGGCUUAAAGGGUGCGUAGGCGGCCCUGUAAGUUGGGUGUGAAAUCCCUCGGCUCAACCGAGGAAUUGCGCCCAAUACUGCAGGGCUAGAGGAAGAUAGAGGUGAGCGGAACUUGUGGUGGAGCGGUGAAAUGCGUUGAUAUCACAAGGAACACCUGUGGCGAAAGCGGCUCACUGGGUCUUUUCUGACGCUGAGGCACGAAGGCUGGGGGAGCGAACGGGAUUAGAUAUCC
Molecule: ribosomal RNA, 739 nt
Filed under: uncultured bacterium
Lineage: Bacteria
Description: bacterial SSU rRNA
Rfam family: Bacterial small subunit ribosomal RNA
Source: RNAcentral